This 253-nucleotide ribosomal RNA is filed under the name uncultured bacterium. RNAcentral's name for it is "partial 16S ribosomal RNA". It matches the Rfam family "Bacterial small subunit ribosomal RNA", at positions 524 to 776 of the family's 1533-position model. The record is from RNAcentral.
UACGUAGGGGGCAAGCGUUGUCCGGAAUCAUUGGGCGUAAAGAGCGUGUAGGCGGCCCGAUAAGUCCGCUGUGAAAGUCCAGGGCUCAACCCUGGAAUGCCAGUGGAAACUGUCGGGCUGGAGUCCGGAAGAGGCGAGUGGAAUUCCUGGUGUAGCGGUGAAAUGCGCAGAUAUCAGGAGGAACACCAAUGGCGAAGGCAGCUCGCUGGGACGGUACUGACGCUGAGACGCGAAAGCGUGGGGAGCAAACAGG